This 88-nucleotide transfer RNA is filed under the name Streptomyces matensis. RNAcentral's name for it is "tRNA-Thr". The record is from RNAcentral. Lineage: Bacteria; Bacillati; Actinomycetota; Actinomycetes; Kitasatosporales; Streptomycetaceae. RNAcentral also lists the same sequence under 1 other name.
GAGGCGGGCGGCCCGCUGGAGCGGGCGCUGGACGCGUUCGUACCGCGGUGGAUCGCCGAGGACUGGCCGUUCGAGCGGCCCCGCUUCA